RNAcentral lists this ribosomal RNA (468 nucleotides) under uncultured bacterium. Its description in RNAcentral is "partial 16S ribosomal RNA". It matches the Rfam family "Bacterial small subunit ribosomal RNA", at positions 28 to 507 of the family's 1533-position model. The record is from RNAcentral.
GACGAACGCUGGCGGCGUGCUUAACACAUGCAAGUCGAACGGAAAGGCCCUGCUUUUGUGGGGUGCUCGAGUGGCGAACGGGUGAGUAACACGUGAGUAACCUGCCCUUGACUUUGGGAUAACUUCAGGAAACUGGGGCUAAUACCGGAUAGGAGCUUCUGCUGCAUGGUGGGGGUUGGACAGUUUCGGCGGUUGGGGAUGGACUCGCGGCUUAUCAGCUUGUUGGUGGGGUAGUGGCUUACCAAGGCUUUGACAGGUAGCCGGCCUGAGAGGGGGACCGGCCAAACUGGGACUGAGAUGAGGCACAGACUCCAACGGGAGGCAGAAGUGCGGAAGAUUGCACAGUGGGCGGAAGGCUGGUGCAGCAACGCCGCGUGGGGGAUGACGGCAUUCGGGUAGUAAACCACUUCCGCCUGUGACGAAGCGUGAGUGACGGUAAUGGGUAAAGAAGCACCGGCUAACUACGUG